GGGACGAACGCUGGCGGCGUGCCUAACACAUGCAAGUCGAACGAGGUCCAAGUCGUGGCAACACGACGGAAGACCUAGUGGCGAACGGGUGAGUAACACGUGAGGAACCUACCCCGGAGACCGGGAUAACUCUCCGAAAGGAGAGCUAAUACCGGAUGUCCCCAUCGGGUCGCAUGACCUGAUGAGGAAAUGGAUUCCGCUCCGGGCGGGCCUCGCGGCCCAUCAGCUUGUUGGCGAGGUAACGGCUCACCAAGGCAUCGACGGGUAGCUGGUCUGAGAGGACGAUCAGCCACACUGGGACUGAGACACGGCCCAGACUCCUACGGGAGGCAGCAGUGGGGAAUCUUGCGCAAUGGGCGAAAGCCUGACGCAGCAACGCCGCGUGGGGGAUGAAGGCCUUCGGGUUGUAACCCCUUUCAGUGGGGACGAAAUUGACGGUACCACAGAAGAAGCCCGGCUAACUACGUGCCAGCAGCCGC
RNAcentral lists this ribosomal RNA (479 nucleotides) under uncultured bacterium. RNAcentral's name for it is "SSU rRNA". It matches the Rfam family "Bacterial small subunit ribosomal RNA", at positions 27 to 518 of the family's 1533-position model. The record is from RNAcentral.